GUUGAAACCAGUGAGGGGGAACAGCCCUGAUUCCGUGUUGUGGCCAACCGGCAAGGUGCACAGAAGGCCAAAGCCUUCUACUUCAGUGCAGACCCCUCAGAUCCACAAAAGGCCUCCAAUCAUUGUGAGCUAUGGGCAGGACCAAACAUCUGGGGAUGGAUGGAGCGUCAAUCCAGAGCCUCUCAGCCAG
Salvelinus fontinalis (brook trout) is the source of this 190-nucleotide long non-coding RNA. RefSeq lists it as uncharacterized. NCBI's taxonomy places the organism in Eukaryota, Metazoa, Chordata, Actinopteri, Salmoniformes, Salmonidae. The transcript is spliced from 3 exons. The record is from RefSeq and is a predicted model, not a curated record.